This 458-nucleotide ribosomal RNA is filed under the name uncultured bacterium. RNAcentral describes it as "partial 16S ribosomal RNA". It matches the Rfam family "Bacterial small subunit ribosomal RNA", at positions 338 to 795 of the family's 1533-position model. The record is from RNAcentral.
CCUACGGGUGGCAGCAGUGAGGAAUAUUGGUCAAUGGGCGAGAGCCUGAACCAGCCAAGUCGCGUGAGGGAGUACUGCCCUAUGGGUUGUAAACCUCUUUUGUCGGGGAGCAAAAGCCGGACGUGUCCGGCUGUGAGAGUUCCCGAAGAAAAAGCAUCGGCAAACUCCGUGCCAGCAGCCGCGGUAAUACGGAGGAUGCGAGCGUUAUCCGGAUUUAUUGGGUUUAAAGGGUGUGCAGGCGGAUUUUUAAGUCAGCGGUAAAAUCGUGGGGCUCAACCCCAUCCAGCCGUUGAAACUGGGGAUCUAGAGUGUGCGAGAGGUAUGCGGAAUGCGUGGUGUAGCGGUGAAAUGCAUAGAUAUCACGCAGAACCCCGAUUGCGAAGGCAGCAUACCGGUGCACAACUGACGCUCAGGCACGAAAGCGUGGGUAUCGAACAGGAUUAGAUACCCUGGUAGUC